RNAcentral lists this ribosomal RNA (245 nucleotides) under Abyssorchomene sp. 2 HR-2016. RNAcentral describes it as "partial 16S ribosomal RNA". The stretch from base 99 to 245 matches the Rfam family "Bacterial large subunit ribosomal RNA", at positions 2473 to 2620 of the family's 2925-position model. The record is from RNAcentral. Lineage: Eukaryota; Metazoa; Arthropoda; Malacostraca; Amphipoda; Lysianassidae.
UUUACUGGGGUAGUGACUUUAAGGUAAUUGAAGUUAGAUAAACAUUAAUGUGGGUUUAGUUCUUAUCUAUAAUAAAAAUUUGAGUUAGUUACUUUAGGGAUAACAGCGUAAUAAUUUCGGAAAGAUCCUAUUUAUGGAGUUGAUUGCGACCUCGAUGUUGAAUUAAAUAAUCUUAGUAGAGCAGAAACUAUUAAAGAGGGUUUGUUCAACCUUUAAAUUUUUACAUGAUCAGAGUUCAGACCGGA